AACUGAUUUUGUUAUUGGUAUGAGCUUUCGUGUGCUUGCACGCUUCUUCGGAUAAGUGUGUAGGCACACGAAAGCUCAUACUAAUAACAAACUUAGUUGG
Molecule: non-coding RNA, 100 nt
Organism: Podarcis lilfordi (Lilford's wall lizard)
Lineage: Eukaryota; Metazoa; Chordata; Lepidosauria; Squamata; Lacertidae
Source: the annotation of a GenBank genome assembly